Molecule: non-coding RNA, 135 nt
Organism: Triticum aestivum (bread wheat)
Lineage: Eukaryota; Viridiplantae; Streptophyta; Magnoliopsida; Poales; Poaceae
Source: Rfam
AAAGUACUCCCUCCAUUUUAAAAUUCUUAUCUUAGAUUUGUCUAAGUAUAGAUGUAUCAAGUCAUGUUUUAGUAUUAGAUACAUCCAUAUCUAGGCAAAUCUAAGACAAGAAUUUUGGGACGGAGGGAGUACAAA